GUAUUAGUUAUGUUCUUGAAACCCAAAGGAUUUGGCGGUAUUUUAGUCUUUUCAGAGGAACCUGCCCCUUAAUUCGACAUUCCACGAUUAUGGUUACUCUUGUUUGUUUAUCAGUUUGUAUAUCUCCGUCAUAAGAGAGUCUUUUUAGAGAAAAUUUUCUUGCUCUUUAAAUAAGUUUAUGUCAGGUCAAGGUGCAAUUUAUGCAGGAGAGGAGGUGGGUUACAAUAUAUUUAUUGUAUACGGAUUAAUAUCUUGAUUUUAUUAUGAAGGUGGAUUUGAUUGUAAGGUUAAUUUUUUAUUAUCCUGAUUUUAGCUCUGGGAUAUGCACACAUCGCCCG
Molecule: ribosomal RNA, 338 nt
Filed under: Synlestes weyersii
Lineage: Eukaryota; Metazoa; Arthropoda; Insecta; Odonata; Synlestidae
Description: partial 12S ribosomal RNA
Source: RNAcentral